RNAcentral lists this ribosomal RNA (253 nucleotides) under uncultured bacterium. RNAcentral describes it as "partial 16S ribosomal RNA". It matches the Rfam family "Archaeal small subunit ribosomal RNA", at positions 474 to 727 of the family's 1478-position model. The record is from RNAcentral.
UACCAGCACCCCGAGUGGUCGGGACGAUUAUUGGGCCUAAAGCAUCCGUAGCCGGUCCUACAAGUCUUCCGUUAAAUCCACCUGCUUAACAGAUGGGCUGCGGAAGAUACUAUAGGGCUAGGAGGCGGGAGAGGCAAGCGGUACUCAGUGGGUAGGGGUAAAAUCCUCUGAUCCAUUGAAGACCACCAGUGGCGAAGGCGGCUUGCCAGAACGCGCUCGACGGUGAGGGAUGAAAGCUGGGGAAGCAAACCGG